RNAcentral lists this ribosomal RNA (468 nucleotides) under uncultured bacterium. RNAcentral describes it as "partial 16S ribosomal RNA". It matches the Rfam family "Bacterial small subunit ribosomal RNA", at positions 28 to 507 of the family's 1533-position model. The record is from RNAcentral.
GACGAACGCUGGCGGCGUGCUUAACACAUGCAAGUCGAACGGAAAGGCCCUGCUUUUGUGGGGUGCUCGAGUGGCGAACGGGUGAGUAACACGUGAGUAACCUGCCCUUGACUUUGGGAUAACUUCAGGAAACUGGGGCUAAUACCGGAUAGGAGCUCCUGCUGCAUGGUGGGGGUUGGAAAGUUUCGGCGGUUGGGGAUGGACUCGCGGCUUAUUAGCUUGUUGGUGGGGUAGUGGCUUACCAAGGCUUUGACGGGUAGCCGGCCUGAGAGGGUAACCGGCCACAUUGGGACUGAGAUACGGCCCAGACUCCUACGGGAGGCAGCAGUGGGGAAUAUUGCACAAUGGGCGGAAGCCUGAUGCAGCAACGCCGCGUGCGGGAUGACGGCCUUCGGGUUGUAAACCGCUUUCGCCUGUGACGAAGCGUGAGUGACGGUAAUGGGUAAAGAAGCACCGGCUAACUACGUG